UGUAAGCCGGGUUCUGUCGUGGACAAUCAUUCCUCUAGGCUUGCAUUUACACACAAGCUCAAGCAACCUACCCGAACUCUCGGCGGGCCACCGAUUGAGUUCCUAUUUGGUCUUGCUACGAGUGGAGUUUACCUAGCUGCCAAAUGUUACCACUGGCACGGUGCGCUCUUACCGCACCCUUUCACCCUUACCAGCCAAAGCUGGCGGUCUGCUCUCUGUUGCACUAGUCGUAGGCUCGCGCCCCCCGGACGUUAUCCGGCACUCUGCCCUAUGUAGCCAGGACUUUCCUCCCCACAGAACCCGGCUU
This 307-nucleotide non-coding RNA is filed under the name Pasteurellaceae bacterium I10. Lineage: Bacteria; Pseudomonadati; Pseudomonadota; Gammaproteobacteria; Pasteurellales; Pasteurellaceae. The record is from RNAcentral.